GCAUUUGACCGCUCCUCCCUCCGCGUUGGAGGCGGAAUAGUGGGUUUUGCUGCAACCGGUUUAUUUUCCUUCUGUUUUCACCCAUUCUGGCACAAUCUGGCGCCAUCGUCCUUCUUGUGAGGCCAAGCCUGAAAAUGCGAAGCAGAGAGGCAGGACCAAAAUUGAGGCGAAUCCAGGAACCUGCCAAUGGGUCUCCGGGUGCGGUCUCUGAAACUGGAGGAUAUCGGGAGGAAAGGCUCUCCGAUGCGGAGAUAAUGGGGAAGCUCUUGGCAUGGUUGGCUGUAGGUAUGUGAUACCGGAGGAGCAGGAGUCAAAUAGGAUACGCCGACUUUUAAUUCAAGGAACCCUUUUCUGAAACACUUUGCCACAAUGAAGGAAAUAAGGAAUUGUACUCUCAGAGAUGUUGAGAAAAGAUACAUGGGUCUUGGAAGAUAAUUACUCAAAAUAUGCAGGGAAGGUAGUAUAUCUUUCUAUUUUAAAUGUAUUAAGUAUUCCUGGAACUAUAGCAGUGAGUUGGAAAUGGAGGAUUGUCCAAGUAAAAAACAUUUAUUAAGGCUUUAAUGAAAUCUACCUAUUUUAUGGUAUAUAAUCUCAUUAAUUGUCCACUUGGAAAGAAUAAUAACAGAUAUUUAUUUAUUGGCCAGUUACUAUGGGCCACAAAUUAUGCUGAGCUUUUUUUAAUU
Molecule: long non-coding RNA, 683 nt
Organism: Homo sapiens (human)
Lineage: Eukaryota; Metazoa; Chordata; Mammalia; Primates; Hominidae
Gene: THAP9-AS1
Product: THAP9 antisense RNA 1
Source: Ensembl